GACGAACGCUGGCGGCGUGCUUAACACAUGCAAGUCGAACGGAAAGGCCCUGCUUUUGUGGGGUGCUCGAGUGGCGAACGGGUGAGUAACACGUGAGUAACCUGCCCUUGACUUUGGGAUAACUUCAGGAAACUGGGGCUAAUACCGGAUAGGAGCUCCUGCUGCAUGGUGGGGGUUGGAAAGUUUCGGCGGUUGGGGAUGGACUCGCGGCUUAUCAGCUUGUUGGUGGGGUAGUGGCUUACCAAGGCUUUGACGGGUAGCCGGCCUGAGAGGGUGACCGGCCACAUUGGGACUGAGAAACGGCCCAGACUCCUACGGGGGGCAGGAGGGGGGAAUAUUGCACAAUGGGCGGAAGCCUGAUGCAGCAACGCCGCGUGCGGGAGGACGGCCUUCGGGUUGUAAACCGCUUUCGCCUGGGACGAAGGGUGAGUGACGGUAAUGGGUAAAGAAGCACCGGCUAACUACGU
RNAcentral lists this ribosomal RNA (467 nucleotides) under uncultured bacterium. Its description in RNAcentral is "partial 16S ribosomal RNA". It matches the Rfam family "Bacterial small subunit ribosomal RNA", at positions 28 to 506 of the family's 1533-position model. The record is from RNAcentral.